RNAcentral lists this long non-coding RNA (820 nucleotides) under Ricinus communis (castor bean). Its description in RNAcentral is "long non-coding RNA (RCOM_LNC001096)". The record is from RNAcentral. Lineage: Eukaryota; Viridiplantae; Streptophyta; Magnoliopsida; Malpighiales; Euphorbiaceae.
UUUUAAGAAUGCAUGGUUAAUUUUAUUUCUGCCCAAGUUAGUCUUGGGUUUUUGCCUGUGGAAGACACUGGCUAUCCUUAAAAGUUGAUAGAACAGAUUCAGCUAUUGGUUAGUAUGGAUGACCUUUGAAAUUCAGAACAUUCCUCUUUUUAAAGUAGUGUGGAUUUUUAUAACUGCAUAUCUUGGAAUUUUGAAGGAUGUGAUGGAUGAUAGUAAAUGGACAUAGGAUUGAUCACAAAAGCCUGGCUAUCCUUAAAAGUUGAUAGAACAGAUUCAGCUAUUGGUUAGUAUGGAUGACCUUUGAAAUUCAGAACAUUCCUCUUUUUAAAGUAGUGUGGAUUUUUAUAACUGCAUAUCUUGGAAUUUUGAAGGAUGUGAUGGAUGAUAGUAAAUGGACAUAGGAUUGAUCACAAAAGCUUGUGUGUUCUGCUUGCAAAAAGACGCGUAGAUGAUAGUGGAGGCCUAGAUUUUGCAAUCCUUCAUAAUGGUUAAAGCUUUAGAUUGUCUUGGCGGCAGGAAUUAACAGGCAUAGAUUUCCUUGGAAUUAUAUUUUCAUGGAUGUGGAGUAGGGUGAGCAUCUUGUUGGUAUGUAGAGAUGCAAAUAAGCUGAGCCGAGCUUUUUAAUGUUCAGGCUCGACAUAGGCUCGAUUUGCAGAUGCUCCUUUUUGUAUCUAUAAUUGAAUAAAAAAAUUAUAAAAAAAAAUUAGAGAAAAAUCGAGAUUGAGCUAGAGCUUGAUAAUGUUUUAUAUUUUAGAGUUUGAGUUUGGCUCGUAAUUAGCUAGAUACUACAUAUAAAUGAGCUGGACUCGGGAUCGACUUA